Molecule: non-coding RNA, 23 nt
Filed under: Arabidopsis thaliana (thale cress)
Lineage: Eukaryota; Viridiplantae; Streptophyta; Magnoliopsida; Brassicales; Brassicaceae
Source: RNAcentral
GGACGGGUUUGGCAGGACGUUAC